RNAcentral lists this ribosomal RNA (1001 nucleotides) under uncultured bacterium. Its description in RNAcentral is "bacterial SSU rRNA". It matches the Rfam family "Bacterial small subunit ribosomal RNA", at positions 247 to 1253 of the family's 1533-position model. The record is from RNAcentral.
AGUUGGCGGGGUAACGGCCCACCAAGACGAUGAUGCGUAGCCGAUCUGAGAGGACGGACGGCCACAUUGGGACUGAGACACGGCCCAGACUCCUACGGGAGGCAGCAGUAGGGAAUUUUCGGCAAUGGGCGAAAGCCUGACCGAGCAACGCCGCGUGAGUGAUGACGGCUCUAUGGGUUGUAAAGCUCUGUGGUUGGGAACGAACGGUACUUAUAGGAAAUGAUAAGUAAUUGACGGUACCCAUCUAGAAAGCUCCGGCUAACUACGUGCCAUCAGCCGCGGUAAUACGUAGGGAGCGAGCGUUAUCCGGAUUUAUUGGGCGUAAAGGGUGCGCAGGCGGCGGAUUAAGUCCGGGUUGAAAUUGCUGAGCUUAACUCAGUACUGGCUUGGAAACUGGUCUGCUAGAGUGCGGUAGAGGUUAGCGGAAUUCCAUGUGUAGCGGUAAAAUGCGUAGAUAUAUGGAGGAACACCGGUGGCGAAGGCGGCUAACUGGGCCGUAACUGACGCUGAUGCACGAAAGCGUGGGGAGCAAAUAGGAUUAGAUACCCUAGUAGUCCACGCUGUAAACGAUGAAUACUAAGUGCCGGGGAACUCGGUGCUGCAGCUAACGCAUUAAGUAUUCCGCCUGGGGAGUAUGCACGCAAGUGUAAAACUCAAAGGAAUUGACGGGGACCCGCACAAGCGGUGGAUUAUGUGGUUUAAUUCGAUGCAACGCGAAGAACCUUACCAAGCCUUGACAUCCCGGGCAAAACUAUAGAGAUAUAGCGGAGGUCAUCCCGGUGACAGGUGGUGCAUGGUUGUCGUCAGCUCGUGUCGUGAGAUGUUGGGUUAAGUCCCGCAACGAGCGCAACCCUUGUCUUUCAGUUACCAUCAUUAAGUUGGGGACUCUGAAGAGACUGCCGGUGACAAACCGGAGGAAGGUGGGGAUGACGUCAAAUCAGCAUGCCCCUUAUGGCUUGGGCUACACACGUAAUACAAUGGCGUAUACAAAGUGCUGCAAU